GCGACGGGUGAGUAACCGUGGGCAAUCUGCCCUGCACUCUGGGACAAGCCCUGGAAACGGGGUCUAAUACCGGAUACUGACCCCCGCAGGCAUCUGCGGGGUUCGAAAGCUCCGGCGGUGCAGGAUGAGCCCGCGGCCUAUCAGCUUGUUGGUGAGGUAACGGCUCACCAAGGCGACGACGGGUAGCCGGCCUGAGAGGGCGACCGGCCACACUGGGACUGAGACACGGCCCAGACUCCUACGGGAGGCAGCAGUGGGGAAUAUUGCACAAUGGGCGAAAGCCUGAUGCAGCGACGCCGCGUGAGGGAUGACGGCCUUCGGGUUGUAAACCUCUUUCAGCAGGGAAGAAGCGAAAGUGACGGUACCUGCAGAAGAAGCGCCGGCUAACUACGUGCCAGCAGCCGGGGUAAAUACG
Molecule: ribosomal RNA, 415 nt
Filed under: Streptomyces sp. MBT17
Lineage: Bacteria; Bacillati; Actinomycetota; Actinomycetes; Kitasatosporales; Streptomycetaceae
Description: bacterial SSU rRNA
Rfam family: Bacterial small subunit ribosomal RNA
Source: RNAcentral